Molecule: ribosomal RNA, 503 nt
Filed under: uncultured bacterium
Lineage: Bacteria
Description: partial 16S ribosomal RNA
Rfam family: Bacterial small subunit ribosomal RNA
Source: RNAcentral
AUUGAACGCUGGCGGCAGGCUUAACACAUGCAAGUCGAGCGGGGUGAUGGUGCUUGCACUAUCACUUAGCGGCGGACGGGUGAGUAAUGCUUAGGAAUCUGCCUAUUAGUGGGGGACAACAUCUCGAAAGGGAUGCUAAUACCGCAUACGUCCUACGGGAGAAAGCAGGGGAUCACUUGUGACCUUGCGCUAAUAGAUGAGCCUAAGUCGGAUUAGCUAGUUGGUGGGGUAAAGGCCUACCAAGGCGACGAUCUGUAGCGGGUCUGAGAGGAAGAUCCGCCACAAUGGGACUGAGACACGGCCCAGACUCCUACGGGAGGCAGCAGUGGGGAAUAUUGGACAAUGGGGGGAACCCUGAUCCAGCCAUGCCGCGUGUGUGAAGAAGGCCUUAUGGUUGUAAAGCACUUUAAGCGAGGAGGAGGCUCUUUUGGUUAAUACCCAAGAUGAGUGGACGUUACUCGCAGAAUAAGCACCGGCUAACUCUGUGCCAGCCGCCGCAGUAA